This 510-nucleotide ribosomal RNA is filed under the name uncultured bacterium. Its description in RNAcentral is "partial 16S ribosomal RNA". It matches the Rfam family "Bacterial small subunit ribosomal RNA", at positions 28 to 507 of the family's 1533-position model. The record is from RNAcentral.
GACGAACGCUGGCGGCGUGCUUAACACAUGCAAGUCGAACGAAGCGCGAUGGGAGCUUGCUUCUAUCAAGUAUAGCGGCGAACGGGAGAGUUACGCGCAAUCAACCUGCCCUUAAGAGGGGGUCAACAGUAGGAAACGCCUGCUAAUAACGCAUAAUAGCUAACCUUUGCAUCGAGGAAGGAUUAAAGGUGGGCUGGGUGUAUAAGCUAUCACUGCAAGAGGGGAUUGCGGCUUAUUAGCGAGGUGGAGGGGCAAUGGGCAUCCAAGGCGAGGAUAAGUAGCCGCUCUGAGAGGAUGAACGGCCACACUGGGACUGGGACACGACCCAGACUACUACGGGUGGCAGCCGUGGCGAACCUUCCGCGAUGGACGAAAUUCUGACGGUUCAACGCCGCGUGAGUGAUGACGGCCGUCGGGUUGUGAAACUCAGUUAGGCGGGACGGAAGGCCUUCUUGCUCAUCGUGGGAGAGAUUGACGGUACCGGAAUAGAAAGCCACGGCUAACUACGUG